UAAGUUAGAAAGGGCGCACGGUGGAUGCCUUGACACUAGGAGUCGAUGAAGGACGGGACUAACGCCGAUAUGCUUCGGGGAGCUGUAAGUAAGCUUUGAUCCGAAGAUUUCCGAAUGGGGAAACCCACCAUACGUAAUGGUAUGGUAUCCUUAUCUGAAUACAUAGGGUAAGGAAGACAGACCCAGGGAACUGAAACAUCUAAGUACCUGGAGGAAGAGAAAGCAAAUGCGAUUUCCUGAGUAGCGGCGAGCGAAACGGAACAUAGCCCAAACCAAGAGGCUUGCCUCUUGGGGUUGUAGGACAUUCUAUACGGAGUUACAAAGGAACGAGGUAGACGAAGCGACCUGGAAAGGUCCGUCGUAGAGGGUAACAACCCCGUAGUCGAAACUUCGUUCUCUCUUGAAUGUAUCCUGAGUACGGCGGAACACGUGAAAUUCCGUCGGAAUCUGGGAGGACCAUCUCCCAAGGCUAAAUACUCCCUAGUGAUCGAUAGUGAACCAGUACCGUGAGGGAAAGGUGAAAAGCACCCCGGAAGGGGAGUGAAAGAGAUCCUGAAACCGUGUGCCUACAAAUAGUCAGAGCCCGUUAAUGGGUGAUGGCGUGCCUUUUGUAGAAUGAACCGGCGAGUUACGAUCCCGUGCGAGGUUAAGCUGAAGAGGCGGAGCCGCAGCGAAAGCGAGUCUGAAUAGGGCGUUUAGUACGUGGUCGUAGACCCGAAACCAGGUGAUCUACCCAUGUCCAGGGUGAAGUUCAGGUAACACUGAAUGGAGGCCCGAACCCACGCACGUUGAAAAGUGCGGGGAUGAGGUGUGGGUAGCGGAGAAAUUCCAAUCGAACCUGGAGAUAGCUGGUUCUCCCCGAAAUAGCUUUAGGGCUAGCCUUAAGUGUAAGAGUCUUGGAGGUAGAGCACUGAUUGGACUAGGGGUCCUCAUCGGAUUACCGAAUUCAGUCAAACUCCGAAUGCCAAUGACUUAUCCUUAGGAGUCAGACUGCGAGUGAUAAGAUCCGUAGUCAAAAGGGAAACAGCCCAGACCGCCAGCUAAGGUCCCAAAGUGUGUAUUAAGUGGAAAAGGAUGUGGAGUUGCUUAGACAACUAGGAUGUUGGCUUAGAAGCAGCCACCAUUUAAAGAGUGCGUAAUAGCUCACUAGUCGAGUGACUCUGCGCCGAAAAUGUACCGGGGCUAAAUACACCACCGAAGCUGCGGAUUGAUACCAAUGGUAUCAGUGGUAGGGGAGCGUUCUAAGGACAGUGAAGUCAGACCGGAAGGACUGGUGGAGUGCUUAGAAGUGAGAAUGCCGGUAUGAGUAGCGAAAGACGGGUGAGAAUCCCGUCCACCGAAUGCCUAAGGUUUCCUGAGGAAGGCUCGUCCGCUCAGGGUUAGUCAGGACCUAAGCCGAGGCCGACAGGCGUAGGCGAUGGACAACAGGUUGAUAUUCCUGUACCACCUCUUUAUCGUUUGAGCAAUGGAGGGACGCAGAAGGAUAGAAGAAGCGUGCGAUUGGUUGUGCACGUCCAAGCAGUUAGGCUGAUAAGUAGGCAAAUCCGCUUAUCGUGAAGGCUGAGCUGUGAUGGGGAAGCUCCUUAUGGAGCGAAGUCUUUGAUUCCCCGCUGCCAAGAAAAGCUUCUAGCGAGAUAAAAGGUGCCUGUACCGCAAACCGACACAGGUAGGCGAGGAGAGAAUCCUAAGGUGUGCGAGAGAACUCUGGUUAAGGAACUCGGCAAAAUGACCCCGUAACUUCGGGAGAAGGGGUGCUUUCUUAACGGAAAGCCGCAGUGAAUAGGCCCAAGCGACUGUUUAGCAAAAACACAGCUCUCUGCGAAGCCGUAAGGCGAAGUAUAGGGGGUGACACCUGCCCGGUGCUGGAAGGUUAAGGAGAGGGGUUAGCGUAAGCGAAGCUCUGAACUGAAGCCCCAGUAAACGGCGGCCGUAACUAUAACGGUCCUAAGGUAGCGAAAUUCCUUGUCGGGUAAGUUCCGACCCGCACGAAAGGUGUAACGAUUUGGGCACUGUCUCAACCAGAGACUCGGUGAAAUUAUAGUACCUGUGAAGAUGCAGGUUACCCGCGACAGGACGGAAAGACCCCGUGGAGCUUUACUGUAGCCUGAUAUUGAAUUUUGGUACAGUUUGUACAGGAUAGGCGGGAGCCUUUGAAACCGGAGCGCUAGCUUCGGUGGAGGCGCUGGUGGGAUACCGCCCUGACUGUAUUGAAAUUCUAACCUACGGGUCUUAUCGACCCGGGAGACAGUGUCAGGUGGGCAGUUUGACUGGGGCGGUCGCCUCCUAAAGUGUAACGGAGGCGCCCAAAGGUUCCCUCAGAAUGGUUGGAAAUCAUUCGUAGAGUGCAAAGGCAUAAGGGAGCUUGACUGCGAGACCUACAAGUCGAGCAGGGACGAAAGUCGGGCUUAGUGAUCCGGUGGUUCCGCAUGGAAGGGCCAUCGCUCAACGGAUAAAAGCUACCCCGGGGAUAACAGGCUUAUCUCCCCAAGAGUCCACAUCGACGGGGAGGUUUGGCACCUCGAUGUCGGCUCAUCGCAUCCUGGGGCUGUAGUCGGUCCCAAGGGUUGGGCUGUUCGCCCAUUAAAGCGGUACGCGAGCUGGGUUCAGAACGUCGUGAGACAGUUCGGUCCCUAUCCGUCGUGGGCGUAGGAAAUUUGAGAGGAGCUGUCCUUAGUACGAGAGGACCGGGAUGGACGCACCGCUGGUGUACCAGUUGUUCUGCCAAGGGCAUAGCUGGGUAGCUAUGUGCGGAAGGGAUAAGUGCUGAAAGCAUCUAAGCAUGAAGCCCCCUCAAGAUGAGAUUUCCCAUAGCGUAAGCUAGUAAGAUCCCUGAAAGAUGAUCAGGUUGAUAGGUUCGAGGUGGAAGCAUGGUGACAUGUGGAGCUGACGAAUACUAAUAGAUCGAGGACUUAACCA
RNAcentral lists this ribosomal RNA (2916 nucleotides) under Bacillus anthracis (anthrax bacterium). RNAcentral's name for it is "bacterial LSU rRNA". It matches the Rfam family "Bacterial large subunit ribosomal RNA". Lineage: Bacteria; Bacillati; Bacillota; Bacilli; Caryophanales; Bacillaceae. The record is from RNAcentral.